CCCGCACAAGCGGUGGAGCAGUGUGGUUUAAUUCGACGCAACGCGAAGAACCUUUACCAGGGCUUGACAUCCCCUGACCGCGUAUGAAAGUACGUUUUCACCCUCGGGUGACAGGGAGACAGGUGGUGCAUGGUUGUCGUCAGCUCGUGUCGUGAGAUGUUGGGUUAAGUCCCGCAACGAACGCAACCCCCACGUUUAGUUGCUAACGCGUGAAGGCGAGCACUCUAGACGAACUGCCGUUGACAAAACGGAGGAAGUGGGAUGACGUCAAAUCAUCAUGCCCCUUAUGUUCUGGGCUACACACGUGCUACAAUGGCCGGUACAGACGGACGCAAAGCCGCGAGGUGGAGCAAAUCCUAAAAAGCCGGUCUCAGUUCGGAUUGCAGGCUGCAAUUCGCCUGCAUGAAGUCGGAAUCGCUAGUAAUCGCAGGUCAGCAUACUGCGGUGAAUACGUUCCCGGGCCUU
RNAcentral lists this ribosomal RNA (465 nucleotides) under uncultured Pelotomaculum sp. RNAcentral's name for it is "bacterial SSU rRNA". It matches the Rfam family "Bacterial small subunit ribosomal RNA", at positions 920 to 1382 of the family's 1533-position model. The record is from RNAcentral. Lineage: Bacteria; Bacillati; Bacillota; Clostridia; Eubacteriales; Desulfotomaculaceae.